RNAcentral lists this long non-coding RNA (215 nucleotides) under Lathyrus oleraceus (garden pea). RNAcentral describes it as "Pisum sativum (pea) long non-coding RNA (PSAT_LNC024742)". The record is from RNAcentral. Lineage: Eukaryota; Viridiplantae; Streptophyta; Magnoliopsida; Fabales; Fabaceae.
GACGAGGGUUUUGUGGUGGUGGAUUGAAGGAGAAACGAGUGACGGCGUCGCAGUUGGAGUAGGACGACGGUGAUGGUGGUGCGAAGCGGUUUGGGGCGAAAGAUGAAGGAUUUGUUGGGGAUGAGUGGAAGAAGGUUUGUGAGUGAGAAUGGAGGCAGAGAGACUGAGUGAAUAGUGAGAGUAGUGUGAGGUAGCGGCGGAUAGGGUUUUGUGAG